Molecule: ribosomal RNA, 461 nt
Filed under: Apanteles sp. Rodriguez72
Lineage: Eukaryota; Metazoa; Arthropoda; Insecta; Hymenoptera; Braconidae
Description: partial 28S ribosomal RNA
Source: RNAcentral
AAACCGUUCAGGGGUAAACCUGUGAAACCCAAAAGAUCGAAUGAGGAGAUUCAUCGUCAGCGUAUUCAGUAUUAAUGCAGGCUAUGAUGUGAUAAUAGAAUCCUCGUGGUCACUAGAUUAUACUUGCUUGUAUUAUUUUUGCUGGGUAUGUCGGCGUGCACUUCUCCUCUAGUAGAACGUCGCAACCCGUUGGAUGUUUAUUUAUGGCCUGAUUNGGUAGCCUUUGAUAUUUAUUAUAUUGAAGACCUUUUGGUGUCCUGAUAAACUGUCUGACGGUAUACAUNAUAGUAUUGAGCCGCAAUUAUUUGCGUUAGACUUGCCGCAAGUAAGGCUUUAUUCUGGUAGUGCGGAUUUAAUGCCGUCGCUGGNACAAAGUCUGCUGUUAGUUGUGUAAUGUCUUUAACUGGCUUAUUUACUGGUUAGCGAUGCUACUGCUUUGGGUACUUACAGGACCCGUCUUG